UAUUUUUCCUGCGGUCCAUAUUCCAUAAAGAGACAGAAAACUUUUGAGGGGCCUUCUUGCAAAAUUACCUGAACCACAUGGUUCACAUCUAAACCCUACCGAACCCUAACUGCAACCUCUGCUUCUUCCCCGGCCCUCUCCUUCGCCGUCCCUCCCCGUCGCCGCCCCCGCAAGUGCUCUCUCUUUCUCUCUCUCUCUCUCUCUCAUAGGUACUUUUCCAAUCCUUUUUCCCUCACUCAUCGCCUCAUUUGAGAGAUAUAAUGAAAUAUGUAUAGUAAAUUAUUUCUUUACUUGCGAAAGAGGAGUUAUAUGUUAAUUGCACGACGUGAUAAUGUUAUGCUAUUGUACUAUUAGGUUUGGGGAUUUGUAUUGGUUUGCUCGUGCUCUCCUGCUUCUCUGUAGUUGGCUUUUUAUCGUUAUCCAGUGUUAAUGAGUUUCGAUUCCAUGUUGUUGUUAUUGUUGUUAUUAUUGCUUUGGUUUAGACAUAUACUUGGCUACAUACUUGAGCAUUUCGAUCAAGUAGCAUAUGAACAUGUUUGUGAGCUUAUUGCGGAUUGAAUGGGUUUAAUUUGUAUCUGUUUGACACCCUACUGUGAAAAUUCUUACCUGUUGUCCAUGGUACUGCAAUUUUUGUCAACUCACUACAUCUAGAGAAAUGCUUCCUAAGCCGAACUUCAAUGAACUUAAUUUAGAGUCAAUUCACUGUAUCUAGCUAGUUACAUUAUUGGAUUGCAUUGAAAAGCAUGUUAAUUAUCAUUUAUAUUAUGUGUCUUGGACCACGGUCAUUCUUUCAAGGUGCAGCAAAAAAAAAAAGAAGUUAGUGUAAUAAUCUGUGUAAGUACAGGCAUAAAUAUUAGCAUUCCUAUCAACAAUCAAUUGUAAAAUGGUGAAUACAACGAAUUUCUUA
This 907-nucleotide long non-coding RNA is filed under the name Ananas comosus (pineapple). RNAcentral describes it as "long non-coding RNA (ACOM_LNC031108)". The record is from RNAcentral. Lineage: Eukaryota; Viridiplantae; Streptophyta; Magnoliopsida; Poales; Bromeliaceae.